RNAcentral lists this unclassified non-coding RNA (396 nucleotides) under uncultured fungus. RNAcentral's name for it is "sequence contains ITS1". The record is from RNAcentral. Lineage: Eukaryota; Fungi.
CUGAGCCUGCACGCGCCCGGCGUCCGGGAGGUCCGCUGCCAGGACCCGAAGGCCGCCUACCGUUUCCGCUACGACGGCCUGAAGCUGGUCCUGCAGUCCGGCGAUCGGUACCUGUUCCUCCCCGAGAGGUGGUCCCGCACCGAGGGCGUCGCCAUCGUCAUGCCCAGGAACGACUCGCUGCGCCUGGAGCUCGUCGCGGCAUCCGCCCGCGGCACCGUGCGGCGUUCCACCUGCUGAAGACCGAGCGCGCGUGUUACCGCAGAGAGCACUCUGACUCCAGUUGGAAUGCUCCGCGUACAGGGGACUGAGCGUGCCGUCGCCCCAGCGCACCCUGCCAAGCAUCUGGGCGUAGAACAGGUCGCUGUCCAGGCAUGGGCUCCACCAUGGGGUGGAGUC